RNAcentral lists this microRNA precursor (55 nucleotides) under Jaculus jaculus (lesser Egyptian jerboa). RNAcentral's name for it is "miRNA (ENSJJAG00000001152.1)". Lineage: Eukaryota; Metazoa; Chordata; Mammalia; Rodentia; Dipodidae. The record is from RNAcentral.
CUAAGCAUUUCUCUAGCCCUAAAAAUAUCUUUUAAGGGCUGAAGAGAUGGCUUAG